Molecule: ribosomal RNA, 420 nt
Filed under: uncultured bacterium
Lineage: Bacteria
Description: bacterial SSU rRNA
Rfam family: Bacterial small subunit ribosomal RNA
Source: RNAcentral
UAAGGAAUAUUGGUCAAUGGGCGCAAGCCUGAACCAGCCAUGCCGUGUGCAGGAAGACGGCCCCACGGGUUGUAAACUGCUUUUGCAGGGGAAUAAACCCCGGUACGUGUACCGGGUUGAAUGUACUCUGAGAAUAAGGAUCGGCUAACUCCGUGCCAGCAGCCGCGGUAAUACGGAGGAUCCAAGCGUUAUCCGGAUUUAUUGGGUUUAAAGGGUGCGUAGGCGGCCUAUUAAGUCAGGGGUGAAAGACGGUAGCUUAACUAUCGCAGUGCCUUUGAUACUGAUGGGCUUGAAUACACUAGAGGUAGGCGGAAUGUGACAAGUAGCGGUGAAAUGCAUAGAUAUGUCACAGAACACCAAUUGCGAAGGCAGCUUACUAUGGUGUGAUUGACGCUGAGGCACGAAAGCGUGGGGAUCAAA